Molecule: ribosomal RNA, 459 nt
Filed under: uncultured bacterium
Lineage: Bacteria
Description: bacterial SSU rRNA
Rfam family: Bacterial small subunit ribosomal RNA
Source: RNAcentral
AGGACGAACGCUGGCGGCGUGCCUAACACAUGCAAGUCGAACGGAGUUCCUUCGGGGACUUAGUGGCGAACGGGUGAGUAACGCGUGAAGAACCUGCCUUUCAGUGGGGGACAACAGUUGGAAACGACUGCUAAUACCGCAUAAUGUUAUUUGAGGGCAUCCUCGGAUAACCAAAGAUUUAUUGCUGAAAGAUGGCUUCGCGUCUGAUUAGAUAGUUGGUGGGGUAACGGCCUACCAAGUCGACGAUCAGUAGCCGGACUGAGAGGUUGAACGGCCACAUUGGGACUGAGACACGGCCCAGACUCCUACGGGAGGCAGCAGUGGGGAAUAUUGGGCAAUGGGGGAAACCCUGACCCAGCAACGCCGCGUGAAGGAAGAAGGCCUUCGGGUUGUAAACUUCUUUUACCAGGGACGAAGAACGUGACGGUACCUGGAGAAAAAGCAACGGCUAACUACGUG